Molecule: ribosomal RNA, 310 nt
Filed under: uncultured bacterium
Lineage: Bacteria
Description: partial 16S ribosomal RNA
Rfam family: Bacterial small subunit ribosomal RNA
Source: RNAcentral
AAGAGACAGCAGUAGCCGCGGGAAUACGUAGGGUGCAAGCGUUAAUCGGAAUUACUGGGCGUAAAGCGUGCGUAGGCGGUUCGUUAAGUCUGUUGUGAAAGCCCCGGGCUCAACCUGGGAAUGGCAAUGGAUACUGGCGAGCUAGAGUGUGUCAGAGGAUGGUGGAAUUCCCGGUGUAGCGGUGAAAUGCGUAGAUAUGCGGAGGAACACCGAUGGCGAAGGCAAUCCCCUGGACCUGUACUGACGCUCAUGCACGAAAGCGUGGGGAGCAAACAGGAUUAGAUACCCGAGUAGUCCCUGUCUCUUAUAC